RNAcentral lists this unclassified non-coding RNA (1552 nucleotides) under Hevea brasiliensis (rubber tree). Lineage: Eukaryota; Viridiplantae; Streptophyta; Magnoliopsida; Malpighiales; Euphorbiaceae. The record is from RNAcentral.
UAUCAAGAUAUUGGUAACUAUAAAACUAGCAAAAAUAGGCUACCAAAUUAAAAUUUAUGAGUUUUUUUUUUUUAUAUCACAAAUUAAAGUUUAAAGAUAAUCUUGUUAUAAAGCUCAAACUUCAGGGAGGAUGGGUCAGAUUUACUUUGACACUUCAACCCACUUGAUAUGAAGAAAGAAUCUCCUCUAAUGACAAACACUAUCAUGACCACCUCAAUGGAGGAGAAAAAAAGAGGCAGAGGUCAAUGAUAACUUGAUAAGGUCAGCUCUCAUCUUGCCUGCCCAAUAUCUCUGUAAGUGAGUCUUUUUUCCAGGAGUUGUACCUGUUAUCUAUAUCACAAUGCCAAGCGCCACUUCCAUUUAUUGUAUUUUAUCCAAAGCUGCUGCUUUUUUUCCCCCAUCUAUAGAUGUUGUUGGACAAGUAAAGCAUUGUUUAUACUAGAGCACUUUCGAAAGUGCUUGAUUAAUUUUAGAUUAGAUCAUAAUCAUUAAAAGUGAUACUUAGGACUGUUGGGUGAAAUUUUUCAUUGAUGUAAUGAGUGCAUUGAAGAAAAAGAAGUACUAGGCCCUCUGAUUAGUUGAGUGUCUUUUUAUCAAAGAAUUGAUGACAGGCAAUAAAUACCCUUUAAGCAGCCUCUGGCCACUCUGCACUCUGCAGAUGUCCAAAUCGCUACAAACAUAUUUUCCACAUAUCAUUUGUCAUACUUCUCUACUCAUCUCAGUGAAUAAGCAAGGAAGAAAAGAGCACAAGCACAGAUAUUAAAAGAAGCAAGGUGAGGUUGUUUAGCAGGCAUAUUUCACUUUUGAAGUUAUUUUCAAAUCUAUAAUAAGUUUAUAAUUUGGGAUUAAGAUUUUGUUGUUGCAUCAAGUUUUAUGAUAAUCAUACAUUCUCAGAGAAAUGAGCAUGGAAGAGGCAAAAGAAAAGAACGAGAUUGAGAAUGAGAAACUGGAAGAGACGCAGGAUGAAGCAGAGAGAUUAGGGAGAGCCCAACCGUGGACAAGGCAAAUCACUGCAAGAGGAGUGCUAGUGAGUGUUGUGAUUGGGGCCAUCUAUAGUGUGAUAACUAUGAAGCUGAACCUCACAACUGGGCUGGUUCCUAAUCUAAAUGUCUCUGCAGCCCUUCUUGCUUUUGUGUUUAUCAGAACAUGGACAAAAAUGCUUCGUAUGGCAGGAUUCGUAGCCAAACCCUUUACCCGUCAAGAGAAUACUAUGAUUCAAACUUGUGCAGUUGCUUGUUAUAGUAUAGCUGUGGGAGGUUGGCUUUCAUCUAUUGUAAUUACACUUUGCACAUGUAAACGUUCUUUUUGUUAAGUAGCCUGCUUGCUUAGUUAUGAUCCUUUUUUUAACGUUUGUUUCAUUUUGGGUUUUACUUAAUCACAGGUGGGUUUGCUUCUUACCUUUUGGCAUUAAAUAGGAAGACAUAUGAGUUUUCAGGGGAACACACUGAAGGGAACUCUUCAAGAGCUGUAAAGGAACCUGGAUUUGGUUGGAUGACUGGCUUCCUUUUCCUAGUUUGCUUUGUUGGCCUUUUCGUCUUAAUUCCACUUAGAA